GGAAUGGCGCAGCUGGUAGCGCAACUGAUUCGUAAUCAGUAGGUCGCCGGUUCGAAUCCGGCUUCC
This 66-nucleotide transfer RNA is filed under the name bovine gut metagenome. It matches the Rfam family "tRNA". Rfam says of the family: Transfer RNA (tRNA) molecules are approximately 80 nucleotides in length. Their secondary structure includes four short double-helical elements and three loops (D, anti-codon, and T loops). The record is from RNAcentral.